This 65-nucleotide transfer RNA is filed under the name Lymantria dispar asiatica. RNAcentral describes it as "tRNA-Glu". The record is from RNAcentral. Lineage: Eukaryota; Metazoa; Arthropoda; Insecta; Lepidoptera; Erebidae.
AUAUAUAAGUUUAAAUAAAACCUUACAUUUUCAGUGUAAUAAUAAAAUAUUUUUUUUUAUAUAUA